Molecule: ribosomal RNA, 468 nt
Filed under: uncultured bacterium
Lineage: Bacteria
Description: partial 16S ribosomal RNA
Rfam family: Bacterial small subunit ribosomal RNA
Source: RNAcentral
GACGAACGCUGGCGGCGUGCUUAACACAUGCAAGUCGAACGGAAAGGCCCUGCUUUUGUGGGGUGCUCGAGUGGCGAACGGGUGAGUAACACGUGAGUAACCUGCCCUUGACUUUGGGAUAACUUCAGGAAACUGGGGCUAAUACCGGAUAGGAGCUCCUGCUGCAUGGUGGGGGUUGGAAAGUUUCGGCGGUUGGGGAUGGACUCGCGGCUUAUCAGCUUGUUGGUGGGGUAGUGGCUUACCAAGGCUUUGACGGGUAGCCGGCCUGAGAGGGUGACCGGCCACAAUGGGACUGAGAUACGGCCCAGACUCCUACGGGAGGCAGCAGUUGGGAAUAUUGCACAAUGGGCGGAAGCCUGAUGCAGCAACGCCGCGGGCGGGAUGACGGCCUUCGGGUUGGAAACCGCUUUCGCCUGUGACGAAGCGUGAGUGACGGUAAUGGGUAAAGAAGCACCGGCUAACUACGUG